This 3063-nucleotide unclassified non-coding RNA is filed under the name Rhopalosiphum maidis (corn leaf aphid). RNAcentral describes it as "gamma-aminobutyric acid type B receptor subunit 1, transcript variant X1". Lineage: Eukaryota; Metazoa; Arthropoda; Insecta; Hemiptera; Aphididae. The record is from RNAcentral.
CACGGAGUGGGACAUCUGACCGAACUCGACGUUAUGGCUUUUGCAUUUUAAUAUAACACCGUUAUGUAGACAAAUAGGUUUAUUAUUUGUUUACUUGUCGGCUAAAUGAUUCGAUUUGCGAUAAUCGUGUUUGUGCUGUUAACCGAUGUUCCGUUUUCAUUACAAGAGGAAGAUAAUGUAUUACACAUCGGCGGUAUAUUCCCAAUCGGCGGCAAAGGCGGAUGGCAAGGAGGUCAAGCCUGUGAGCCUGCGGUUAGGCUAGCUUUGGAAGAUGUGAACAAGAAUAGCAUUCUAUCCGGAUAUCAAUUGAAAUUGCAUUGGAAUGAUAGCGAGUGUGAUCCAGGACUUGGUGCAUCGGUCAUGUAUGAUCUCCUCUAUAACAAACCUCAAAAACUAAUGUUAUUAGCAGGAUGUAGUACUGUAUGCACAACUGUUGCUGAAGCCGCAAAAAUGUGGAAUUUAGUUGUAUUAUGUUAUGGUGCCAGUUCACCAGCAUUGUCAGAUAGAAAUCGUUUUCCCACACUGUUUAGAACGCAUCCUUCAGCUACUGUUCAUAGUCCAACUAGAAUCACAUUAAUGAAAAAGUUCGAAUGGUAUAGAAUAGCUAUUCUACAGCAAACCGAAGAAGUGUUUAUUUCUACAGUGGAGGAUAUCGAGACUCGAUGUAAACAAAAUGGCAUUGAAAUAAUUACUAGGCAAAGUUUUGUUAGUGAUCCAGCUGAUGCUGUUAAAAACUUGCGCAGACAAGACGCCAGGAUCAUUGUUGGCUUAUUUUACGUCGUUGCUGCUAGAAAAGUAUUAUGUGAGAUGUAUAAACAGCAGUUAUACGGAAAAGCUUAUGUGUGGUUUUUUAUUGGUUGGUAUAAAGACAACUGGUUUGAAGUAAAUUUGAAAGAAGAAGGAAUCCAAUGUACAAAACAAGAAAUGAGAAUUGCAGCUGAAGGUCAUAUUACCACCGAAGCUCUUAUGUGGAAUCAAAAUAUUAACCAAAAGACUAUUUCCGGAAUGACUUCUGAAGACUUUCGUAAGAGGCUAGAAAAUGUUUUAAGAUCAGGUGGUUAUGCAAUUGAUCGGCAUCGUUAUCCUGAAGGUUAUCAAGAAGCGCCCUUAGCAUACGAUGCUGUCUGGGCUGUAGCGUUGGCUUUUAAUAAAACAAUGAGUAUUCUGGAAAAACAAGGAAAAUCAAUUACCAGUUUUAAUUACAACAAUAAAGAAAUUGCUGAUCAUAUAUAUUCAGCCAUAAAUUCAACUCAGUUUCUUGGGAUAUCAGGCUGGGUAGCUUUCAGUUCACAAGGUGACCGUAUAGCAUUAACGCAGAUUGAACAAGUUAUUGAAGGAAAAUACGUUAAGCUUGGUUACUAUGACACACAGGCUGAUAAUUUAACAUGGUUCGAUAAGGAGAAAUGGAUAGGUGGAAAAGUUCCUCAAGACAGAACUGUGAUUCGCCGUGUAUUGCGCACGUUAUCGAUACCAUUAUUGAUAUGCAUGUGGGUAAUCACAACUAUUGGAAUACUUGGUGCAGUUAGCCUUAUUAUAUUUAAUGUUCUAAAUCAUCAUAGAAGGGUUAUCGCUCAAUCAUAUCCAGCUUGCAAUACAAUUAUGUUGUCCGGUUGCGUAUUGAGCUUGAGCAGUAUUUAUUUAUUUGGCUUGGACGGUCAAAUUAUAUCACCAGCGGUUUUUCCAAACAUAUGCCAAAUAAAAACUUGGGUGUUGUCAAUUGGAUUUACUUUAGGUUAUGGAGCUAUGUAUAGUAAGGUGUGGAGAGUGCACAGACUGCACACGAGUCAAAAGAAAAAUGCAAUUAGGAAAGCUUUGCAGCCGUGGAAAAUGUAUUCAAUUGUAAUAUUUUUACUGGCUGUCGAUGUUGCAAUUCUAUUCUUAUGGCAGUGUAUGGAUCCAUUGAAGCGUGAUAUACAAGUAUUUCCUAUGGAAAAUCCUUUAAAUAGCAACGAUGACGUAAAAAUAAGACCAGAACUAGAGCACUGUAAGAGUGAAAAUCACAAUUUUUGGCUAAGUCUAACAUUAAGCUACAAAGGAUUGCUUUUACUCUUCGGACUUUUUGUCUCGUAUGAAACCAGAAGUGUCAAAUUGAGACAAAUAAAUGAUUCGCGGUACGUCGGAAUGUCAAUUUACAAUGUGGUUGUUACGUGCUUGAUAACUACACCCGUGAUUAUGGUGACGGCAUCACAGCAAGAUGCUAGUUUCGCUUUUGUAGCGUUAUCUGUUAUUUUCUGUUGCUUCCUUUCAAUGGCCCUAAUAUUCGUACCAAAAGUGAUCGAAGUUAUUCGGGAUCCUCAUGAUAAACCGGAAUCUAAAUAUAACCCUGAUGCUGGAAUGUCAAAAGAAGACGAAGAUAAGUAUAAAAGACUUAUUGAAGAAAAUAAACAACUUGCAGCUAAAAUAAAAGAGAAAGAGGAGCGAUUAAAACAACUUAAGUCUGACCUAUUCAGUUUAAGGGGCGAUACUGAUAAGACUGCAGAGCUAAAAUGGAACGAUGAGUCGCAGUUAACCGAACACUCGUUCUUAUCGCAGUCGGUAAAUAAAGAUACUUUAAUUGUAGCUGAUUUCAUAACUGGCGAAGGUACAUCGGACUCAGCGUUCAUUGCUGAUUAAGAAUUUGGCGUAAAGUAGUUUUUGAAGAUCACUUUAUUUAUGUUUUAAAAUUGAAUUCAACGGGAAUCCUUUUAACGAAACUUUAUUUCAACAUCAUUGAUGAUUAUUGUUUCACCACAAUAAAUUAUCGAUUCUGGUAUACAAUUUCCACCGUUACAGCCUAUCAAGAAUUGACGAGAACAGUCAAAUGUAACCUACAGAAUGAGGAGCAGGACACCAUCGUUAACGCAUUAUUUGACUCUACAAUUAGACGAAAACGAAUUUUACAUAAUUUAAAUAAACACCAUCUGCUGUAAAAGUUAAUACAUUUUGGUUCAUGAUAUUUUGUUUUCAUUAAAAUUUUUUUUCAUGAUUAUUAAAUGGAUAACAUCUUACCUGUAUUUAGAGGGAUAAUGUAUUAAGUGUUAUUCAUUAGAUGUUUUGUUUUUUGAUAAAUGAGAAUUUUCUAAU